This is a non-coding RNA of Sesamum indicum (sesame), 550 nucleotides long. The record is from RefSeq and is a predicted model, not a curated record. NCBI's taxonomy places the organism in Eukaryota, Viridiplantae, Streptophyta, Magnoliopsida, Lamiales, Pedaliaceae.
UUUAACUGCAUAUAUCAGCAUUAAAUAGUUACUCAAGAGAUGUUUGAAGCAGUCAUUUUCAUAAGUAUGAAAUAUUUUUGCAGGCAACCCUAGCACUCUAGCUGGCCACCGGUUUCUGGAGUUGCUCCGAGAAGACGAGAUGGCUUUUGACAACCUUUUCUGCAUCGCCUUCAAGUUGUUGGACGCACAGUGGCUUGCAAAGCGCGCUUCAUAUAUGGAAUUUAAUGAUGUUCUCAAGUCAACAAGAUCACAACUAGAGCGCGAGAUGGCACUGGAAGAUGUCUCAACAGUGAGAGAUUUGCCAGCUUAUAAUUUACUGAGAAGAUAGUAUUGAUGGUAUAAUCUUUCAUGAUACUUUUGUAAAUACCUUUUGUUUUUUAAUUUUUUUUCCCCUGGCCUUUGAAUUUGUUGUUCCAAUUAACCAUAUGUGAGACCAGCUUUCAUACCAGAAGCUGUAAAUUUCUGUGUAUAAAGUUUGAAGCACUGUUUUCUUGCAUUUGGUGGUUGAGUUUCCUACCCAAGGAAUAAAUUUCUCCUUUGCUUCUUAUUA